GUCAGUUCUGGGUCCUGGUCUCCUGCCUCUGAACCUGCCGGGAACCUGUGGGCGCCGGCGCCUGUCUCCACUCACGUGACGUGGGACUCAGUGACCCCUGAAGGCUUGGGGUUUACCAGGCUGCUGCACAAAAUUCACUCUCCAGCCCUACUUUGGAGCAAUGAGGAACCCCAGCGUCUUGAUCUGUCGUUUUGGAGCUGCUUCAUGUGGAAGAUGGAUAGGACCAGUUUCAGCAAACCUAGUAUCUGUCCAUUGACAAGAGAUGAUGGAGUUCAAGCAGGUUUGAUGGGGCUUGUCCAAAGAAAUGCAGUCCCAGAGCAGUCUUUUUAG
This 330-nucleotide long non-coding RNA is filed under the name Lynx canadensis (Canada lynx). RNAcentral's name for it is "lncRNA (ENSLCNG00005018650.1)". Lineage: Eukaryota; Metazoa; Chordata; Mammalia; Carnivora; Felidae. The record is from RNAcentral.